CCGCCCGGCCACUCUCUCACCCCGUAGCUACCACACGGAGAGCAGAAGUCGAGGAACGAUCGAGGUCCGUCGCCGCGAGUGUGUCUCCAAGCAGACGCCGCCGGCCGGCUCUGCUCCGGUCAUCUGCAACUACGAUCUUGGACGGUGACAUAAUAGUCCGACAUUGAUCCGUAACGGGGAGACAGCCGCCGGCACGGCGGUGCACCGGGGCCGGGGGCCCUGCGCGCGCGCGCGGUUGCACACAUCACACAGUUUCCUAUAUUGGACAAGUAAAGUGUGGUACUAGCUAGCUGCCCACUGACACGCAAUGGAACAAGUUGACAUUUGGGCGCCCAUCUUGGCCGAUCCUCUUCCAAGCCAACAGGCGGAGAUUAAAGUUCACUCAACAUAUGUGGAUUACGGCACCAUGGACUUUCAAGCACUCUUGGAAGGACCCCAUGAUUUGGACAGAUGGCUGAAAGGUGCAUUCAUUCCUACUUAUAUAAAGGAGGCGAAUUUAACUCAUGAGGCAAGAUUUUCGCACAUCCAAAUGUACAAACUUGCAAAACAAAUGAACGUGGCAAAUGGCAUUGAAAAACUGUUUCAUCAUUGCA
Triticum aestivum (bread wheat) is the source of this 593-nucleotide long non-coding RNA. RefSeq lists it as uncharacterized. The record is from RefSeq and is a predicted model, not a curated record. The transcript has 4 exons. NCBI's taxonomy places the organism in Eukaryota, Viridiplantae, Streptophyta, Magnoliopsida, Poales, Poaceae.